GGUCAGUCGGUCCUGAGAGAUGGGCGAGC
RNAcentral lists this non-coding RNA (29 nucleotides) under Homo sapiens (human). The record is from RNAcentral. RNAcentral also lists the same sequence under 3 other names. Lineage: Eukaryota; Metazoa; Chordata; Mammalia; Primates; Hominidae.